AGGACGAACGCUGGCGGCGUGCUUAACACAUGCAAGUCGAGCGGAAAGGCCCUUCGGGGUACUCGAGCGGCGAACGGGUGAGUAACACGUGAGCAACCUGCCCUUGGCUCUGGGAUAGCCUCCGGAAACGGGGAUUAAUACCGGACAUUCACUUUCUCCUGCAUGGGGGGUUGGUGGAAAGUUUUUCGGCCAGGGAGGGGCUCGCGGCCUAUCAGCUUGUUGGCGGGGUAACGGCCCACCAAGGCGACGACGGGUAGCCGGCCUGAGAGGGCGAUCGGCCACACUGGGACUGAGACACGGCCCAGACUCCUACGGGAGGCAGCAGUGGGGAAUAUUGCACAAUGGGCGCAAGCCUGAUGCAGCGACGCCGCGUGGGGGAUGAAGGCCUUCGGGUUGUAAACCCCUUUCACCAGGAGCGAAUUCAGACGGUACCUGGGAAGAGCGCCGGCUAACUACGCGCCAGCAGCCGC
RNAcentral lists this ribosomal RNA (470 nucleotides) under uncultured bacterium. RNAcentral describes it as "SSU rRNA". It matches the Rfam family "Bacterial small subunit ribosomal RNA", at positions 26 to 518 of the family's 1533-position model. The record is from RNAcentral.